Small nuclear RNA from Meriones unguiculatus (Mongolian gerbil), 107 nucleotides. The record is from Ensembl. NCBI's taxonomy places the organism in Eukaryota, Metazoa, Chordata, Mammalia, Rodentia, Muridae.
AUGCUCUCUUCUGCAGCACAUAAAUUAAAAUUGCAACAAUACUGAGAAGAUUAGCAUCGCCCCUGUGCAAGGCUGGCACGCAAAUUCAUGUAGCGUUCCAUAUUUUU